RNAcentral lists this ribosomal RNA (1596 nucleotides) under Triticum aestivum (bread wheat). RNAcentral describes it as "partial small subunit ribosomal RNA". Lineage: Eukaryota; Viridiplantae; Streptophyta; Magnoliopsida; Poales; Poaceae. The record is from RNAcentral.
AUGGGGCCCCGACUACCAAGUUCGCCGGCUUUCGCAGUGAUGCGGAAAAGAGCAAGCAGCGGCUUAACGGCCUAUCUGAUUGCGAGGCAGGAGAUACAGAGGAAGAUGGACGAGUUGGCCGAGAAGGAGCUUGGGCCGGAUGGCAAGGAGAGGUUCCUUGCCACUCUACUCUCCCAAGACAAGAUGAGGUCGAUGGAGGAGAUGAUCGCCGAUUCGGCGCGCAACAUCUUCCAAGAAUUUUUUCAUAUGUUACACCAAUCGCCGAUGGAAGAGGAAGAAGAAGAGGAAGAGGAAGAGGAGCUGGAGCUGGAGGAGGAGGAGGAGGAGGAGGAAGAUGAGGAGGUAGAAGAAAAAGAAGAAGAGGAGGAGGAUGAAGAGGAAUUGGAGGAGGAGGAAGACGACGAGGAAUUACGCAUGACUGUUCAGGUAUCCUUCUUGUGCGACCAGAUCGGCGACCUGGUACUAGAACUUCUGAAGAUGGUUCCAGAUGAAGAGCCGGGAAAUCAAUUGCUGUCCUCGGUCACAAGGCUAAAUAGAUUGCAGUGGAUCACAGACAGCAUCAACAAUUUCGCCUCAGAAAUUCAGGUGAGGGGCCAGGAGGUGAGGACCUCGGAGAAGAAACAGGAGCAGGAGAGGACCUUGGAGGAGAGGGAAAUCAACGGACAAGUGAUGGUCGCCGGAGGCAGAUUAGUCACUAUGGCAACGGACAGGGGCUUGGAGGGUGAAGUGGUGAUCAGCGAGGCCGCAGCCGCAGCCGCGGAGUACGAGGAGGAGGCUUUUGCUCGCUUCCGUAGGGCCUGGGAGUGUCGCCAAGGUGCCAACAGCUUCGAAGACCUCACUUUGUUGAGUCCCAUGCUCUUUACACACUGUACACUGGGAUUCAAGCCAGUAGACGCUGUCCUCCCAAGGACUAUGCAUAUCUGUUCUAUCAAAGUUACUGACUUGAAAUACUUUAAAUGGCCACUGCAAGUAUAUGGUGUGGUUGCCGCCCGAGAUGCUGUGGAUGGGCGUCGCAACCCCAUCUUCCUUUGUCCAAGGGAUGACUGCCAAAUCCUCAAUGAAGCGUUAUGUUCUCAGCAACUUAAACGUUCGGUUCAAGCCACUAUCUUUGGUGUUCAUGUUGUUGAUGAGAAGUUAACGCCUUUUCAAUAUGGAGUCCGAGUUGUUUGCUACACAUUUUCUGAGCGUGAGAUUGAAGAAGUCAAUGUGUCCAAGUCAAGGAAAAUUGUAUUGCUUGAUUCAAAAGCUAGAAGAAAGUGUGCAGUUAAAGGUGGUUAUCUAAAUCUGUCAAGGCAAGUUCUAUCCGUAGAAUUCGGCGGAAAGCUAAAAGUUCUUAUUCAGGCAUACACACCAACCGGAGACAUCGCUGCACAAGGACUUGUAUUUGUGGUACCCAAAACAUACAACGCAAGUCAACAUGUAUGUGAGCUUGGCGGCUUCAAGGUGGAGUUUACCAUUGCUUGGUCCCUCCUUGUUGAAGAUGAGGAGCAUAUCUUGAUGAAUGGAUGUGUGGAUCCUUUGGCAUCGUGUCCACCUAUGAACCCCUCUUUUUUCAACGAGGGGCUAUCUUCUUCCAAUGGUGGUUUGUUGAUGUAA